This is a long non-coding RNA of Manacus vitellinus (golden-collared manakin), 3117 nucleotides long. RefSeq lists it as uncharacterized. NCBI's taxonomy places the organism in Eukaryota, Metazoa, Chordata, Aves, Passeriformes, Pipridae. The transcript is spliced from 3 exons. The record is from RefSeq and is a predicted model, not a curated record.
UUUAAAAAAAAAAAAAAAAAGAACAACUUUCUCCUCCCAGGGUUUUGAAAACCAUGCAAGAAGCCACCACCAUUUACAUUAACCAAUUUUUCUUUCUUAAAGGCUUCACUCCUGAGUUAGCUCGAUUUAAAGGAUUUUCUUUAACUUUUUGUGUAUCUCUUAUGUAUUUCUUCUGCACAGGGCCAAUAAUAAGAAGUGGACAAUACAGUAUUUGCUUCAUUGUGUGGGGGAAAAAACCUUUGUUAAAUGUAUGGAUGCAGACGCCUUGAUGAAGAUCUUAAUUUUGGUUAAAAAAAAAAUAGUGUUUUUGAAAAUGUACAAAAUAUCUAUCACUACUGAUAGGAGGUAAUAUUUCUGUGUAGAAAUGAAAAAAAAAUGGUUUGUUUUUAGUAUUAGUGUAGAUGUACACAUUCCAGCAAAUGUAUUUGCAAUUAUGUGGUCAAUGCUUUGUGAUAUAAAUGUACUUUUUCAAUGUAUACUUUAUCACUUUUAAAAAUGCCUGUUUUGUGCUUUACAAUAAAUAAUAUGAAACCUCCUGUGUCGGUAAGUUGGAUAUGUGGGUAUUGCAGAACUAUAGGAUUGAUUUGCAACGCUGAAUCAAGGUACCUGUACACAAAUGAGUUGGUUUUUUUUUCCCCCCCUGGUGAAACCUUGUUGAGUUUAAAAACUUGUCGUUAGCAUGUUUUUCCCCCCUUGCAGAAUAGUUGUAGAUGGAGGAUCUCUUUCAUUCAUUGUAUUUUGCUGCCUAGCACCAGUAAUCUUGAUACCUUAAUUUUCUUUCUAUUUGAUUCAAACUGCAUGUGUUUAAGAAGGUGAUCUUUUGGCAUACUCCAUUGCAUUAACAGUGAAAUUUCCUUUAGACAUGACCACUGUUUCAGACCUGUGCAGCUGCUAUAACAGAUAACUUUUGUUUUUAACGAGUACUUCAGAACUGUUCCUGCAUAACUAUUUUAUGGAUUUUUUCAGACUAGUUAUAAAACUUACUUUUAAGUGUAAUGUGCUUAAGCCUUCAGUUUAAAGUAGUCCACUUCAAAAUGCAGUGUAGAAAGUCAAUGUGGUUUGCAUAGUAGCUAGAAAAAUUGCAUCUGUCCUUGAAACGCUGUUUUGUUUGAGUGGUGGGAGCGGUUGAGAACUUCCUGCAGAGCAGAUAACUUCUGUUUUUGUAAAUAUUCAAGUAUUUGAAUCGACUGAUUAUUUUUCUAUAUAUACUUGAAACUUCUUAUUGCUCUAAUGCUCAUACUGAAAAGCUGAUUCUCUUGAAAUCCUAUGUUUGCUCUUUGCAUCUGUUAGAUGACAUGCACUACAGUCUGUCUUGCCAUUGUCUGUUGAAGUGCAGGUUUGAUCCAGCCAGUAUAGAACUAGCUCUAUAGGGGUGAGGAGGACUGUGCUGUGUAUCAUCCUUGAUUGUUCCUUCAAGGAGCAUUGCACUUGCCUUCCCAGACCUUCCACCUUAGGUUCUGCUGCAAAAAAGCAACAGUGCUGAAGAUGCUGCAAGCACCAAAUCAUAGCUCAUAGAAUCAGGUCCUGAGAUAGUUACUACCAGUAAAGAGGAAUCCUUUGAGUGUAUGCCAUUGGUGAGCCGAUGAGCAUGGACCAUAGAAGGGCUCCAUGUGGAAGGUAAAAUUGGCAAAAGCAUAACAGAUUUGCAAUGUAUCCCAUACAUAAUGGUGUAGGGUAUGAUUUUUGUUCUGAUCACUUUUCAUUCUUUGAACUAUUCUUUGUUUGACCAUAAAUGUUCCAUAAUCUGUUACGUUUUUUUUUUUAAACUGUGAUUGAAUAAUAUAAACCAUCUAUUUUACUUUAUAUUCUUCUAAACAGCCAAGUUUAAUUUUUUGAACUAAAUUAAUAGUUGUGCUUCAGUUUCUCAAGCCACUUAGUAUUUCAUCUGUAGUUUUAACAUGUAACUUCAUUUUUGACAUGAGAAAAGGUUAGGUGUGUGUUCCAUUUAGAGUUUGAUACUGUGAAUUUAGUGUGGGGAUGAGUCAUUUGUUCACUUCCUUUUUACAUGGUACUUUUUUCUUCAACUGUUACUCCUAAAAUACCUUGAACAGUCUUUCAGCUGUUAAUUUAGCCUGUGGGAGGAGAUAGAGAAGGAGCAGCCGGUGUGUUGGGAUGUUGGGAGUGUGUGGAAGGUGGGCUGUUCUUGUGUGCAGUAUUUGAGGUGUAUGACUCCAGCUCUCUCACUGCUGGCCUUACAGCCACGCUACUUUGUGCUAAGAUAGUGUUCAGUUUUCACCUCUGUCUCCAAACUCGUAGUUCUUGGGAGAACAGGAGAUUAUUGGAGCUCUCCAGUAGCCAGAGAGAGAACUGGCCUUCCUUAGAAACGCAGUGAACUUGUCCAAAAGGUGUCUGGAAAUGUUCCCCACUUAGCCCAGCCCCACCCUUUAGUGUCCCACAAAUAGAGUAGAAUGUGAAGUGUGCAAAGCUGACAAAGCAAGCAUAAUUUUCCAAGUAGGAAAAGCAUUUUUGUAUCGCUCCCUGCAGCCUGUACUUCAUUAGGACAGAAACCAAAAUAUAAGGUAGCUUAUUUUCAGUGUAGCUUGAUCAUAAGCCAUCUCCUUCACUUGUCCAGGCAGACAGGAUCAUGAUUCACUUGCACAGCCUAAUCUUGAGAUAUUUCAUCUUUUUCUGGUGGUAUUUUAUUGGAUGGUAGAAACUGUUUCUCCCCUGUUCUCUUCCAGAGUAAUUCUUAAGUUUUCCAUUGCAUGCUAAAAGCUUUUUUAUUUUGCUUUUUUUCUGGAAGUGGGGGGAGGAAGGGAGGACUGGGCUUUUCAGAAAGCAUACAAUUGCCAGGAUUCCCUCUUCCCUAGUAAUAGCUUGUGAAACUCUCAUGUGUGCACAAAUAUUUCUCUUGCGUGCAUGUGAAAUGCCUUUUCGUCCUGAGAAAAGUGUUCUCUGCAGAAACUACCCGUGUGUAAAAAGAAGAUUGGCUUUAAAAGGCAACUGUGAUGGGAACAGUGUCUUAGGGAGAUGCAGCUUGGACUUGAGGUAAAUUGAAUGCUUUACAAAAAUGUGGUUUUGAGCUUGCAUUGACAUUGUAUGUAAUAUGGGUACACAUUAACUGUAUAAUGGUUUUUGUAUGGUUUUUCUCAAUAAAUGUAAACUGAUGGAUAAUAA